AACGCGAAGAACCUUACCUGGGCUUGAACUACGGAUGGUAAGCUGUUGGAAACAGUGGCUGACCCGCAAGGGAGUCCGCAGAGGUGCUGCAUGGUUGUCGUCAGCUCGUGUCGUGAGAUGUUGGGUUAAGUCCCGCAACGAGCGCAACCCCUACUCGAUGUUGCUAAUCCCGCAAGGGAUGCACUCUUCGAGAACUGCCUUCGAUAAGAAGGAGGAAGGUGGGGACGACGUCAAAUCCUCAUGGCCCUUAUGUCCAGGGCUACACACGUGUUACAAUGGCCGGUACAAUGGGAAGCAAUACCGCAAGGUGGAGCCAAACCCACAAAGCCGGCCCCAGUUCAGAUUGUGGGCUGCAACUCGCCCACAUGAAGGCGGAAUCGCUAGUAAUCGCUGAUCAGCAGGCAGCGGUGAAUACGUUCCCGGGCCUUGUA
RNAcentral lists this ribosomal RNA (431 nucleotides) under uncultured Elusimicrobium sp. RNAcentral describes it as "bacterial SSU rRNA". It matches the Rfam family "Bacterial small subunit ribosomal RNA", at positions 958 to 1385 of the family's 1533-position model. The record is from RNAcentral. Lineage: Bacteria; Pseudomonadati; Elusimicrobiota; Elusimicrobia; Elusimicrobiales; Elusimicrobiaceae.